This 249-nucleotide ribosomal RNA is filed under the name uncultured bacterium. RNAcentral describes it as "partial 16S ribosomal RNA". It matches the Rfam family "Bacterial small subunit ribosomal RNA", at positions 87 to 334 of the family's 1533-position model. The record is from RNAcentral.
UAACCUAGUGGGCAGACGGGUGAGUAACACGUGGUCAACCUUCCCUUUAGUGGGGGAUAACUAGCCGAAAGGUUAGCUAAUACCGCAUACCAUCUGAACCCGGCAUCGGGAAUAGAUGAAAGGAGCAAUCCGCUUAAGGACGGGACCGCGUCCCAUUAGUUAGUUGGUGGGGUAACGGCCUACCAAGACUCCGAUGGGUAGCUGGUUUGAGAGAGCGACCAGCCACACUGGGACUGAGAAACGGCCCAG